RNAcentral lists this ribosomal RNA (684 nucleotides) under Priestia filamentosa. RNAcentral's name for it is "bacterial SSU rRNA". It matches the Rfam family "Bacterial small subunit ribosomal RNA", at positions 1 to 666 of the family's 1533-position model. Lineage: Bacteria; Bacillati; Bacillota; Bacilli; Caryophanales; Bacillaceae. The record is from RNAcentral.
UUUAGAGUUUGGAUCCUGGCUCAGGACGAACGCUGGCGGCGUGCCUAAUACAUGCAAGUCGAGCGGAGAUUUGAAAAGCUUGCUUUUCAAAUCUUAGCGGCGGACGGGUGAGUAACACGUGGGCAACCUGCCCUUGAGACGGGGAUAACUCCGGGAAACCGGAGCUAAUACCGGAUAACACAUAUCUUCGCAUGAGGAUAUGUUAGAAGGUGGCUUUUAGCUACCACUCAAGGAUGGGCCCGCGGCGCAUUAGCUAGUUGGUGAGGUAACGGCUCACCAAGGCGACGAUGCGUAGCCGACCUGAGAGGGUGAUCGGCCACACUGGGACUGAGACACGGCCCAGACUCCUACGGGAGGCAGCAGUAGGGAAUCUUCCGCAAUGGACGAAAGUCUGACGGAGCAACGCCGCGUGAGUGAUGAAGGUUUUCGGAUCGUAAAGCUCUGUUGUUAGGGAAGAACAAGUACCUGUUAAAUAAGCAGGUACCUUGACGGUACCUAACCAGAAAGCCACGGCUAACUACGUGCCAGCAGCCGCGGUAAUACGUAGGUGGCAAGCGUUGUCCGGAAUUAUUGGGCGUAAAGCGCGCGCAGGCGGUUCCUUAAGUCUGAUGUGAAAGCCCACGGCUCAACCGUGGAGGGUCAUUGGAAACCUGGGGAACUUGAGGUGCAGAAGAGAGAGCGUUA